CCCCGGCCGCGCUGCCCGGGACUGUGAGCGGCGCGGAGCGUUGAGGUGCCCGGGCUCCCUUGGCGCCCGGACUGCGCCGUUCUCCCCGGUGUCCUUCCCCCGUGCUCUGCCGUGAGCCGCCCUGCUGCUCGCUCUGUGCUACUGCCCCCCGUGCGAUAUGCAAGAUGCCUGUAACCGUCUUGGCUCGAAGCGUCUGAGAGGAACUGGAGCUCAAGAUGAGAACCAACAAGGUGUACAAGCUCGUCAUCCAUAAGAAGGGGUUUGGAGGCAGUGAUGAUGAACUGGUGGUGAAUCCUAAAGUAUUUCUUCAAAUCAAACUGGGAGAUGUUGUGGAAAUUGCACAUCCCAAUGAUGAAUACAGUCCCCUGCUUCUCCAAGUGAAGUCACUUAAGGAAGAUCUGCAGAAAGAAACGAUCAGUGUGGACCAGACAGUGGCCCAGGUGUUCCGCCUGCGGCCCUACCAGGAUGUCCAUGUCAAUGUUGUUGACCCCAAGGAGGUGACCUUGGACUUGGUGGAGCUGACAUUUAAAGAUCAGUAUAUUGGGCGUGGGGAUAUGUGGAGGCUGAAGAAGAGUUUGGUCAGCACAUGUGCAUAUGUCACCCAAAAAGUUGAAUUUGCUGGUAUCAGAGCCCAGGCAGGUGAACUGUGGGUAAAGAGUGAGAAAGUCACUUGUGGAUACAUCAGUGAGGACACCCGGGUGGUCUUCCGCUCCACUUCUGCCAUGGUUUAUAUUUUCAUCCAGAUGAGCUGUGAAAUGUGGGAUUUUGAUAUUUAUGGGGAUCUAUACUUUGAGAAAGCUGUGAAUGGUUUCCUUGCUGACCUCUUCACAAAAUGGAAGGAGAAGAAUUGCAGCCAUGAAGUGACAGUGGUUCUAUUUUCAAGAACAUUUUAUGAAGCAAAAUCUAUAGAUGAGUUUCCUGAAACACAUCGUGCAUCAAUUCGGCAGGAUCACGAGGGAAGAUUUUAUGAAGAUUUUUACAAAGUUGUAGUGCAGAACGAGAGGCGGGAGGAGUGGACCUCCUUGCUUGUGACCAUUAAAAAGCUUUUCAUCCAGUAUCCUGUGUUGGUACGACUCGAGCAAGCAGAGGGCUUUCCUUCAGGUUACAAUUCUACCUCAGCACAAGGGAACUACCUGGAGGCUAUAAAUCUUUCAUUCAAUGUGUUUGACAAGCAUUACAUCAACCGCAACUUCGACCGCACGGGGCAGAUGUCGGUGGUGAUCACGCCCGGCGUGGGGGUGUUCGAGGUGGAUCGGCUCCUCAUGAUCCUCACCAAGCAGCGCAUGAUUGACAAUGGGAUAGGUGUGGAUUUGGUGUGCAUGGGAGAGCAGCCCUUGCAUGCUGUCCCACUCUUUAAGCUCCAUAAUCGCUGUGGCCCUGGUGACUCACGAAUGGGUGAUGACUACAAUAUCCCACACUGGAUAAAUCAUAGUUUCUACACAUCCAAAAGCCAGCUCCUGUGUAACAGCUUCACUCCACGGAUCAAGCUGGCAGGAAGGAAGCCACUGACAGAGAAAGCAAAAAAUAAUCGUGAUGCCUCAUUAGGAGCUCCCAAGGAUGCUGAGAAUGCCUUGCCUAUCCAGGUGGAUUAUGAUGGCUAUGAUGCCCAGGUGUUCAGACUGCCAGGCCCAGCCAGAGCCCAGCGCUGCACCACUUUCAGGUCGGUGCGGGAGCGGGAGAGCCGCACCAGGAAGAGCUCCAGCUCGUACGACGUGUCCUGCAGCCCGUCCCUGCAGAGCCGCGCGCUGCCCCCCGAGGAGGUCCGGAGCCAGGCCUCUGACGACAGCUCCCUGGGCAAGAUCUCCAACAUCCUCAUGAUCCCACGGCCCCACCUGCACCAGUGUGAAGUCAGCAGCUCCCUGGGCUACACCAGCACCAGAGAUUUCCUUGAGAACAUGUUGGAGUCGCAGCAGCGCGACUCCAGCGCCCCGGGGCGGUUCCACGUGGGCAGCGCCGAAUCGCUGCUGCACAUCCGCCCGGGCGGGUACGCGCCGCAGCGCGCCCUCAUCAACCCCUUCGCCCCGUCCCGCAUGCCCAUGAAGCUGACAUCGAACCGCAGGCGCUGGAUGCACACCUUCCCCGUGGGUCCCUCAGGAGAAGCUAUCCAGAUCCAUCAUCAGACCCGGCAGAACAUGGCAGAAAUGCAGGGCAGUGGGCAGCAGGAUCUGACACAUUCCUCUGCAGAGCUGCUGGAGCUGGCUUACCACGAGGCAACUGGCAGACACGGCAGCUCUCGGCAUCCGGGGGAUGGCGGCUCCUUCCUGAGCUUCGGCGGGGCGGAGGAGUUCGGGAACGGGAACGGGCACGGGCUGGGGGCCGGCCCCGGCGCAGGGGUGAACCUCAAAACUCAGAACAAGGAUUCCUUGGAAGAUGCUGUCUCUAAUUCUCCAGAUCCAAAAAGAGGCUGGUCUGUCAUUCUUUCUCUCCUCCUCUCCAGCUCCUUCUGCAGUUGUCUAGGAUGCAGAACUGUGCCAGGCUUCUGUUGUACAGUUGGAGUGGACUGGAAGUCCCUGACCACCCCUGCCUGCCUGCCCCUCACCACCGAUUACUUCCCCGACCGCCAGAGCCUGCAGAACGACUACACCGAGGGCUGCUACGACCUGCUGCCCGAGGCUGACAUGGACAGGAGGGAUGAGGAAGGAGUGCAGAUGACAGCCCAGCAGGUGUUUGAGGAGUUCAUUUGUCAGCGCCUCAUGCAGGGCUAUCAGAUCAUUGUGCAGCCCAAGCCGCAGAAGCCGGCCCCGGCCGUGCCGCCCCCGCUCAGCAGCAGUCCCCUCUACAGCAGAGGUCUUGUGUCGAGAAAUAGACCUGAGGAAGAGGAUCAGUACUGGCUGAGCAUGGGCCGUACUUUCCACAAAGUCACCUUAAAGGACAAAAUAAUUACUGUCACUCGCUACCUGCCAAAGUAUCCAUAUGAAUCUGCCCAGAUAAACUACACCUACAGCUUGUGCCCCUCACACUCUGACUCUGAAUUUGUCUCUUGCUGGGUAGAAUUUUCCCAUGAGAGACUAGAAGAGUACAAGUGGAAUUACUUGGAUCAGUAUAUCUGCUCUGCUGGCUCGGAGGAUUUCAGCCUGAUCGAGUCGCUGAAGUUCUGGAGGACGCGGUUCCUGCUGCUGCCCGCCUGCAUCAGCGCCACCAAGCGCAUCAUGGAGGGGGAGGCGCACUGCGACGUGUACGGCGACAAGCCCCGCUCGGACGAGGAGGAGUGGCAGCUCCUCGAUGGCUUCAUCCGCUUCGUGGAGGGCUUGAACCGCAUCCGCCGCCGCCACCGCUCCGAUCGAAUGAUCCGAAAAGGGUCUGCCAUGAAAGGCUUGCAGAUUGCUGGUCCAAUUCCCACUCACUCCCUGGAGCAGUCUGGACCUCCCAUUGGGAAAAAAGGAACCUCAGCACUCUCAGCUCUGCUGCAGAUGGAAGCCAGUCAGAAGACCCUGGGGGAGCAGCAAGCAGCAAUGCUUUCUGGGAAGAGCUCUGGCCAGCCUUCAGAGAGUGGGAGCAUUGCUAUCACACCCACCUAUAUGGACAGCCCUCGCAAGGAUGGGGCCUUCUUUAUGGACUUUGUUCGCAGCCCACGCACAGCUUCAACCUUCUACUCCCAGGUCUCUAUUGAUCAAUCAGUUCCUGCAUCCUCAGAUGGCAGCACCUUGCUCCCCACAGGGCAGGUCCCUGACAGGGGCAGCACCCAGGGGAGCACCCAGAGCACUGAGCCAGGAUACAGCACAGCUGCUGCUGCAGAGGGCAGCUCUCAGCAGUGUUCAACAAGUGCUCUGACUUCCUCCUCCACUUUGGUAGAGAUUCUUGAAGCCAUGAAACACCCCACCACAGGGAUCCAGCUGCUCUCUGAACAGAAGGGGCUCUCCCCCUACUGCUUCAUCAGUGCAGAAGUUGUGCACUGGCUGGUGAAUAACGUGGAAGGGGUGCACACCCAGGCCAUGGCCAUUGACAUCAUGCAGAAAAUGUUAGAAGAGCAGCUUAUUGUCCAUGCAUCUGGAGAAGCUUUACGAACCUUUAUUUAUGGCUUUUAUUUUUACAAGAUUGUUGUGGACAAAGAACCAGACCGAGUGGGGCUGCAACAGCCUGCCAUGUGGCACACAGCUGCCAUGGAUGACUUCUCAGCCUUCCAGAGGAAAUGGUUUGAGGUGGCCUUUGUGGCAGAAGAGCUGCUGCACUCGGAGAUCCCGGCGUUCCUGCUGCCCUGGCUGCCCAGCCGCCCCGCCUCCUAUGCAAGUAGGCACAGUUCCUUUAGCCGCAGUUUCGGAGGACGGAGCCAGGCAGCUGCACUCUUAGGUAGAUGCACAGCACAGGUGACAGCUGGGGAAGUUCAAGGGGAUAUUUGAAAGGGGAAGAGCAGCCAGCCAAGGGGAUGAUCUCACGUGGACCAGCAAUCAAGCUGCAAAUUUCAUGCUGGCCUUACAGUGUCUUGCAUGUGGACUCGCUCUCAUGUGCUGGAGGUGUGUUUCACUGGCUGGGCAGGAAACUUUUACUUUUUAUUGUAUUCCAGUACUCUGAAGUAUUUCUUAAAAUGUUCCUUCUUCCUGAACCUCUAGAAUUCAGGAAAGAAGAUACUUUGUCUCCUUGCAAAUCCUGAGAGACUGUUCACAACCUGUAAGGAGUAUGGAGGGAUAAGUUGUGAGAACAGCAAAGCAACCAAACUGUUCUUAAAAUUACAUAUCUAAUUGUUUCCUAGGGGCAAAAGCCACAGUGAAGUCCAGAUGUGUUAGAAGUUUCUGUGAUGUGCUGGAGGCUUUCUAGCUAAUCUGAACCAGACUCCUUGCAUUAAUGAGUCUGUGGAGCCCAGCUGCAGAUGAUCCCUGUGCUAUGGAAGCAGUAGGAAGAUCUUGCUGCUGGGCAAGGUCCCAUUAGUGUCUGAUGUUCUCUGAGGUGUGGAGAGUAACCCUGACUGCUCUAACAGCCCAUGAAACACACUGGCUGCGUGACUGACCCCGUUGCUUUGUCAGCUUCUUGUUACAUUUCCAGGCCAGCCUGAGUCACUUGCUUUUGUUCUCCUUUCCUUGUUUAAAAGAAAAAUCAUUGCUCUGGAACUGCAGCUUCAGGUUUAUUUAGAUGCAUCUGUUAAAGGCCUGGCAAUUAAGGAUAAAAAGAAACAUUUUGCUUUUCUCCUAUUGUGUAUAUUUAACCUUCUGAAGAGAAGUGCCUUACUGCAGGUGUAGUAUCUCUUAAACCUGAAGUCACAGUAAUCCUUGUGUAUUUCUGAGAGCCUUGUUUGAAGAAGAACAGCAUCAGAAAUCUGAAAGCAUUACGGAUAGGAAGUCUGAACUAAUGGUUAAUUCCCUGAAGCCAACAUAUGCAGGUUAUUUUCCCUGUCACAUGAUAAAUCUGUUUCCUUGGCUGGUGUCCAGCCUCAUUAGCUCAGUGGCUGGCUAGAGCUGAAGCCUGAACUGGCUGGCAUGGAAGUUUUGUGGAGGCUGGAGGCACUGGAGCCAGAUCCUCUUCAUGGUUUGAUCUCUUACUCACUAUUUAGCCUGAGAAAACCAGUUCACAUUGCUGUGUCUGUGCUCUCUUGUGAGCUGAGAAGCCCGAGGCUCAGCAGCCUGCACCCCUGGGGAUGAGUAGAGAUGUGCCUCAGUGUCCCCCUCACCUCUCAUUUAACACCAGCCAGGAACUGUGUAUUCCUGCAGCAUGUGGGUAUUACACACCUGAGUAGCUCUCCUUUUCCUUUCAGUUGGGAUUAUGUCCAUUUUACUAUUUAACUCAUUUGCAGCCCUUGAAUGAGUGAUAAAUGCCUUCAGAUUGCUCUCAUGCAGUCUGGGUUUUCCAGGAAUUAUGGUUUCUUGUAGAAAAAUUGAGCUUGGAAGUUUUUUCUUACAAAGGAACUGGAUAAAUGAUGCUUCUGUGCUGUUCCUCUUCUAAACAGUAUUCCAAAAAAACUUCAGCAGUUCAUCUGAGGUAAAGAGCUUUACUAAACCCAGAUGACCCCUGGUCCACGUGACUUCAUUUGUUCCUCUCUUGGUCUUGAUUAGGUUGUGGUUUUUAUUUCUUCCCCUCCCCACCUUCCCUAAAUGUCAGGCUGUGACAUAAAAUUGCAUGCAAGCAUUGGGAGCUCUGGAACAAGCUCCAUGUAUCUCUCAAAUCUUUGUCCCUCCCAACUUCCCAAUCACUGCCCAGUGACUGUCCCCUUUCCCUCCCCAGUGGAAGUGUGACCUGUGACACAGCUAAUCUUGUCCCUUUGAUUUGUAGCAGUGCAUGCACUAGCAACUGUAGUCAUGUAUGUAGUGGAGUCUGACUGGAGAAUAACCUGCCUGCUCCUCUCCGAUUGCUUAGUAAAUCCUUAGUUAAAUACUCAAUAGUAGAAGACAAUUGGGAAGCAGCUGCCACGGUGCCCGAGCAGCGCACGGUGACGCUGGAUGUGGAUGUCAACAACCGCACGGACCGCCUGGAGUGGUGCAGUUGUUAUUACCAUGGCAACUUCUCCCUGAACGCUGCC
Molecule: RNA transcript, 6445 nt
Organism: Melospiza melodia melodia
Lineage: Eukaryota; Metazoa; Chordata; Aves; Passeriformes; Passerellidae
Gene: DEPDC5
Gene name: DEP domain containing 5, GATOR1 subcomplex subunit
Exons: 40
Source: RefSeq, a predicted model, not a curated record